RNAcentral lists this ribosomal RNA (497 nucleotides) under uncultured bacterium. RNAcentral's name for it is "partial 16S ribosomal RNA". It matches the Rfam family "Bacterial small subunit ribosomal RNA", at positions 28 to 507 of the family's 1533-position model. The record is from RNAcentral.
GAUGAACGCUGGCGGCGUGCCUAAUACAUGCAAGUCGAGCGAACAGACGAGGAGCUUGCUCCUCUGACGUUAGCGGCGGACGGGUGAGUAACACGUGGAUAACCUACCUAUAAGACUGGGAUAACUUCGGGAAACCGGAGCUAAUACCGGAUAAUAUAUUGAACCGCAUGGUUCAAUAGUGAAAGACGGUUUUGCUGUCACUUAUAGAUGGAUCCGCGCCGCAUUAGCUAGUUGGUAAGGUAACGGCUUACCAAGGCAACGAUGCGUAGCCGACCUGAGAGGGUGAUCAGCCACACUGGAACUGAGACACGGUCCAGACUCCUACGGGAGGCAGCAGUAGGGAAUCUUCCGCAAUGGGCGCAAGCUUGACGGAGCAACGCCGCGUGAGUGAUGAAGGUCUUCGGAUCGUAAAACUCUGUUAUUAGGGAAGAACAAAUGUGUAAGUAACUAUGCACGUCUUGACGGUACCUAAUCAGAAAGCAACGGCUAACUACGUG